AUGAACGCUGGCGGCGUGCCUAAUACAUGCAAGUCGAGCGAACAGACGAGGAGCUUGCUCCUCUGACGUUAGCGGCGGACGGGUGAGUAACACGUGGAUAACCUGCCUAUAAGACUGGGAUAACUUCGGGAAACCGGAGCUAAUACCGGAUAAUAUAUUGAACCGCAUGGUUCAAUAGUGAAAGACGGUUUUGCUGUCACUUAUAGAUGGAUCCGCGCCGCAUUAGCUAGUUGGUAAGGUAACGGCUUACCAAGGCGACGAUGCGUAGCCGACCUGAGAGGGUGAUCGGCCACACUGGAACUGAGACACGGUCCAGACUCCUACGGGAGGCAGCAGUAGGGAAUCUUCCGCAAUGGGCGAAAGCCUGACGGAGCAACGCCGCGUGAGUGAUGAAGGUCUUCGGAUCGUAAAACUCUGUUAUUAGGGAAGAACAAAUGUGUAAGUAACUAUGCACGUCUUGACGGUACCUAAUCAGAAAGCCACGGCUAACUACGUG
Molecule: ribosomal RNA, 496 nt
Filed under: uncultured bacterium
Lineage: Bacteria
Description: partial 16S ribosomal RNA
Rfam family: Bacterial small subunit ribosomal RNA
Source: RNAcentral